AGAGUUUGAUCCUGGCUCAGGACGAACGCUGGCGGCGUGCUUAACACAUGCAAGUCAAGGGGAAAAUUUUGCUUCGGCGAGAUGAGUAUACUGGCGGACGGGUGAGUAACGCGUAGGCAACCUGCCCUGGUGAGAGGGAUAACCCAGCGAAAGUUGGACUAAUACCUCAUAAUACAUUUAUAUCACAUGAUAUUAAUGUCAAAGGUUUGCUACUUGUAGCAAAUGCAAAAGGAUGGGCCUGCGUUCCAUUAGUUAGUUGGUAGGGUAACGGCUUACCAAGGCGACGAUGGAUAGCUGGUUUGAGAGAGUGAUCAGCCACACUGGGACUGAGAUACGGCCCAGACUCCUACGGGAGGCAGCAGUGAGGAAUAUUGCGCAAUGGAGGAAACUCUGACGCAGCAACGCCGCGUGGGGGAUGAAGCUUUAUGGAGUGUAAACCCCUGUAAGUAGGGACGAAUGGUAUAUAUUCGAAUAGGGUAUAUAAUUGACGGUACCUACAGAGUAAGCUCCGGCUAACUCCGUGCCAGCAGCCGCGGUAAUACGGGGGGAGCGAGCGUUGUCCGGAAUUACUGGGCGUAAA
This 580-nucleotide ribosomal RNA is filed under the name uncultured Deferribacteres bacterium. RNAcentral's name for it is "bacterial SSU rRNA". It matches the Rfam family "Bacterial small subunit ribosomal RNA", at positions 8 to 564 of the family's 1533-position model. The record is from RNAcentral. Lineage: Bacteria; Pseudomonadati; Deferribacterota; Deferribacteres.